Molecule: ribosomal RNA, 497 nt
Filed under: uncultured bacterium
Lineage: Bacteria
Description: partial 16S ribosomal RNA
Rfam family: Bacterial small subunit ribosomal RNA
Source: RNAcentral
GAUGAACGCUGGCGGCGUGCCUAAUACAUGCAAGUCGAGCGGACAGACGAUGAGCUUGCUCCUCUGACGUUAGCGGCGGACGGGUGAGUAACACGUGUAUAACCUACCUAUAAUUCUGGUAUAACUUCGGGACACCGGCGUUAAUACCGUAUAAUCUAUUGCACCGCGUUGUUCAAUGGUGAAAUACGGUUUUUCUGGCUCUUAUAGAUGCAUCCCCGCCGCAUUAGCUAGUUGGUAAGGUAACGGCCUACCAAGGCAACGAUGCGUAGCCGAGCUGAGAGGCUGAUAGGCCGCCCUGGAGCUUGGCCACGGACCAGACGACUAAGGGAGGCAGCAGUAGGGAAUCGUACGCAAUGGGCGAAAGCCUGACGGAGCAGCGCCGCGCGAGUGAUGAAGGCCUUCGGAUCGUAAAACUCUGUUACUAGGGAAGAACAAAUGUGGAAGUAAAUAUGCACGUCUUGACGGUAACUAAUCAGAAAGCCACGGCUAACUACGUG